AUGGAUUUUAACCUGCUGCUGAAGGCGGCCAACCUGUGUCUGCACCACACCUCUGGUCUUGGAAAAGAGGUGAUCAGUCCCAGGGGCUAUUCCUGUGAGAUGUUAAUUUUGGAUUCAGCAUUCCACGCUGGAUGCUGGAACAGCUGGCCAGUGUGGAAUUCUAGCAUGGAGAUGUCAAGCAAUUUGGGACUGCAUGGCAGAGGAAGAAUGUUCCUCUCUGUAAGCGAGAUCUUGACAAUUAGCUUGUUGAAAGGAACUCCUUUCAAAGCUCUAGGAACUAGAAGAUACCGUUCCGGGGUCGGCAACCUUUCAGAAGUGGAGUGCCGGAUCUUCAUUUAUCCACUCUAAUUCGAGGUUUUGCGUGCCAGUAAUACAGUUUAACGUUUUUAGAAGGUCUCUUUAUACAAACCUAUAAUAUAGAAGUAAACUAUUGUUGUAUGUAAAGUAAAUAAGGGUUUUAAAAUGUUUAAGAAGCUUCAUUUAAAAUUAAAUUAAAAUGCAGAGCCCCCCGGACUGGUGCCCAGGACCCGGGCAGUGUGAGUGCCGCUGAAAAUCAGCUGGUGUGCUGCCUUCGGCAUGCAUGCCAUUGGUUGCCUACCCCUGGAUUAGACCAUUGUUCACUCUAUUCCUGUGGCCAAUACCCAGUCCAGGGGGGGGAUACUCGGAGCUCAGUUUGUAGGCUGGUGAGGGCAUAAUGAUAGGUUUGGGGGACUCAAAGCCCUUGAACAUCUGGUCACCCAAAUAAGGGUUUGGCAGGGAGUUGAACAGUGUGUGGCCUUGUCUACACUAGCCUUCUUUGCGAAUUUUACGUGGGGGCAGGGCCAGAUUAACCUUUUGUGGGGCCCCCUCAUGGAGGCAAUUGAGCAUGGCAUGGACCAGGGAGGUCAGUCCCCAGAGCGAGGGGCCAGCCAGGGGCAAUGGGGCGUGCCAUGGCGGGGGCAGCCCCGCUCCACCCACCCCAAUGUGAGGGCAGUAUUUACAAACCAGCAGUUGCCAGACGCACUGUGGUCUGCUGGCCCUGUGAUGCCAGCAUGCCCCUUC
Molecule: long non-coding RNA, 1041 nt
Filed under: Chrysemys picta bellii (western painted turtle)
Lineage: Eukaryota; Metazoa; Chordata; Testudines; Emydidae
Description: lncRNA (ENSCPBG00000009177.1)
Source: RNAcentral